Molecule: small RNA, 893 nt
Filed under: uncultured Mycochaetophora
Lineage: Eukaryota; Fungi; Ascomycota; Leotiomycetes; Helotiales
Description: eukaryotic LSU rRNA
Rfam family: Eukaryotic large subunit ribosomal RNA (bases 610-893)
Source: RNAcentral
CUUGGUCAUUUAGAGGAAGUAAAAGUCGUAACAAGGUUUCCGUAGGUGAACCUGCGGAAGGAUCAUUACUAGAGCAAAGGAUAGACAGCGCCCGCGGAGCUUGCUCCCUGGGGCUACCCUACUUCGGUAGGGUUUAGAGUCGUCGGGCCUCUCGCAGAAGCUCGGUCCUGAACUCCACCCUUGAAUAAAUUACCUUUGUUGCUUUGGCGGGCCGCCUCGUGCCAGCGGCUUCGGCUGUUGCGUGCCCGCCAGAGGACCACAACUCUUGUUUUUAGUGAUGUCUGAGUACUAUAUAAUAGUUAAAACUUUCAACAACGGAUCUCUUGGUUCUGGCAUCGAUGAAGAACGCAGCGAAAUGCGAUAAGUAAUGUGAAUUGCAGAAUUCAGUGAAUCAUCGAAUCUUUGAACGCACAUUGCGCCCUCUGGUAUUCCGGGGGGCAUGCCUGUUCGAGCGUCAUUAUAACCACUCAAGCUCUCGCUUGGUAUUGGGGUUCGCGGUCUCGCGGCCCCUAAAAUCAGUGGCGGUGCCUGUCGGCUCUACGCGUAGUAAUACUCCUCGCGAUUGAGUCCGGUAGGUUUACUUGCCAGCAACCCCUAAUUUUUACAGGUUGACCUCGGAUCAGGUAGGGAUACCCGCUGAACUUAAGCAUAUCAAUAAGCGGAGGAAAAGAAACCAACAGGGAUUACCUCAGUAACGGCGAGUGAAGCGGUAACAGCUCAAAUUUGAAAGCUGGCUCUUUUAGGGUCCGCGUUGUAAUUUGUAGAAGAUGCUUCGGGUGUAGCUCCGGUCUAAGUUCCUUGGAACAAGACGUCAUAGAGGGUGAGAAUCUCGUAUGUGACUGGGUGCUUUCGCUCAUGUGAAGCUCUUUCGACGAGUCGAGUUGUUUGGGAAU